CAUGAACCUUAUCAUUUAGAGGAAGGAGAAGUCGUAACAAGGUUUCCGUAGGUGAACCUGCGGAAGGAUCAUUGUUGAGAAUGAGGGUUAUUGACUAGAGAACUUGUUAUCUUUUGGAAUCCCUGCCAUCAAAGAUGCUGACUCGAAGAGUGUUUUCUCUUUGACUAGCUUGUUUGUUGGACGGGCUAAAGAACCUUGCCACCACUUUUGAUGGUUGUGGGGGUUCGUAAAAUUGUGGGCAUGGAAUGUGCCAAGGAUAUAAAUUGCACAUUUGGGUAAUGCUACUUUGGUUAGAGUCUUUAAUGUGCUCAAUUGAAGGCAUACCUGAUGCGGCAUGUUUGGUGUCUUUAAAAGAUAUUACUCUUGACAAUGGAUAUCUAGGCUCUUGCAUCGAUGAAGAACGUAGCAAAAUGCGAUACUUGGUGUGAAUUGCACAAUCCCGUGAACCAUCGAAUCUUUGAACGCAAGUUGCGCCCGUGACCUCUUGGUUGUGGGCACAUCUGCUUGGGUGUCACACUAUAUGUUGCUCCGUCCAACUAGUCCUUGUGAUGUGUUAAGAUGGAAGCGAAGAUUGGUUCACCGUGCCUUUAUAGAUGUGGUGGGCUAAAAUAUGAGAUGAUGAUAAAGUGAGUACACAACAUGUGAUGGGCAGAAUAAUGCUUUUGAUUUGGCUUGUUGUGUUCUCACAUUGUCAUGUUCUUGCACCAACCGUGCUGAAGGGAGUGUUGAAUGCUGGUGUGGUGUUGUUCUCCCUUUAAUUGUGACCCCAGGUCAGGCAGGACUACCCGCUGAGUUUAAGCAUAUCAU
This 807-nucleotide ribosomal RNA is filed under the name Burmannia nepalensis. RNAcentral describes it as "eukaryotic LSU rRNA". The stretch from base 359 to 514 matches the Rfam family "5.8S ribosomal RNA". Lineage: Eukaryota; Viridiplantae; Streptophyta; Magnoliopsida; Dioscoreales; Burmanniaceae. The record is from RNAcentral.